ACAGGAAGGCAAUUCUCUGACCUCUUUUUUGCAGUUGACAUUGUUCUGGUAACCAUAGGCAACACAGAACACUCAAAGGACCAAGGGAGCUUUUGACAGCGAAAGAAUGUUCAGGACAGGAGGCAGGUCUCAAGUUGGGCCUUUGAAGUCUAUGCUGACACAGAGGAGAAGAAAAACCCUCCUUCCAGCCAGGAUGGCAUAAUGAAGAUACAGAGCAAGAAUAACCCAAGUUCUAAAGCAAUAACCCUCAUCGACGGAAGAAGGGAGAGUAAGAUCCGACAAACGGGAUGGAAGGGCAGGCGCCUUUAAAGCCAAUUCAAACGAGGACCUCUCCCAGGCCAUUGGUAUUGACUGGACAUAAACCCAGCACAUCUGUGUAAGAGAUAGAGUCACGUGCACUGACUAGGAGGAUGCAAAACAAUGAGCUUAAAAAUGUAAAAAACAGAUGCAGAAUAAACAUAUAGGACAGUCACAUUCUCUUGCCUGAGGGGCACACAGUACCAAACCCUACUAUACUACUGUCUUCCAUAUGGACAGACCUAUGGGAAACUUUAAUCCACACAUGUGGCAUUGGAAGAGGUUAACAACAGUAACUAGUAAUGAGGCAGAAUCACUAGAACACACUGUGAUAAAAGUAACAUGAUUGGUCUCUCUCCAAAUACUCUGCUAAGCUGCUGGGUUCUCAGGGGCCCCGCUGAGAUACACAAUGCUUGUGUUCCAGGAGUACCUGUUUUAUUUACUGAAGGCCACAGGGUGCAAGACAAGAAUGGUAAUUUAGAUAUUCCAAAGUGAAGCCACGAGGUGAAGGUGAUGGGGAAAAUUCAAGGCUGAGGGGGCUAAGACCCACGGUAAGGAGAAAGCUUAUGUAGGUGACUUCACACCCAUGAAAACUUGAAGAAGAAAAUCGAGAAUGCCAGCGACCACCGUGAACUUCAGUGGAGGAAGCGAACCCACAGGUUCCCAGAACACACUGCCUGAGUUUUCUCACCAGGCUGUGGACAGGUGGCCUGGCAAUGCUACAGCAUUUCUAGACGACUUUCACUGGGCAAAUCAAGCUUGGGUAAAGAAAUAUCCAUGGACAACAGCUGAAAGCGUCCAUCAAAGUCACAUCUGCAUGUUUGCAGGCAACCAAAACGAAUUCUUAAUCUGUUUCCUGUACUUUAAACAUCACUGCCAGUAAAUACUGGGAACUAUGUAUUUAAAUUUUACAUUCUUGGGAUUUAUACACAUUACACUUCUUGUUAACUUCAA
Mastomys coucha (southern multimammate mouse) is the source of this 1251-nucleotide long non-coding RNA. RefSeq lists it as uncharacterized. Lineage: Eukaryota; Metazoa; Chordata; Mammalia; Rodentia; Muridae. The transcript is spliced from 2 exons. The record is from RefSeq and is a predicted model, not a curated record.